This 468-nucleotide ribosomal RNA is filed under the name uncultured bacterium. RNAcentral's name for it is "partial 16S ribosomal RNA". It matches the Rfam family "Bacterial small subunit ribosomal RNA", at positions 28 to 507 of the family's 1533-position model. The record is from RNAcentral.
GACGAACGCUGGCGGCGUGCUUAACACAUGCAAGUCGAACGGAAAGGCCCUGCUUUUGUGGGGUGCUCGAGUGGCGAACGUGUGAGUAACACGUGAGUAACCUGCCCUUGACUUUGGGAUAACUUCAGGAAACUGGGGCUAAUACCGGAUAGGAGCUCCUGCUGCAUGGUGGGGGUUGGAAAGUUUCGGCGGUUGGGGAUGGACUCGCGGCUUAUCAGCUUGUUGGUGGGGUAGUGGCUUACCAAGGCUUUGACGGGUAGCCGGCCUGAGAGGGUGAACGGCCACAUGGGGACUGAGAUAGGGCCCAGACUCCUACGGGAGGCAGCGGUGGGGAAUAUUGCACAAUGGGCGGAAGCCUGAUGCAGCAACGCCGUGUGUGGGAUGACGGCUUUGGGGUUGUAAACCGCUUUCGCUUGUGACGAAGCGUGAGUGACGGUAAUGGGUAAAGAAGCACCGGCUAACUACGUG